This 244-nucleotide ribosomal RNA is filed under the name uncultured bacterium. Its description in RNAcentral is "partial small subunit ribosomal RNA". It matches the Rfam family "Bacterial small subunit ribosomal RNA", at positions 26 to 285 of the family's 1533-position model. The record is from RNAcentral.
AGAAUCAACGCUGGCGGCGUGCCUAACACAUGCAAGUCGAACGAGAAAGUGGAGCAAUCCAUGAGUAAAGUGGCGCACGGGUGAGUAACACGUGACUAACCUACCCUUGAGUGGGGAAUAACUUCGGGAAACCGAGGCUAAUACCGCAUAACACCUACGGGUCAAAGGAGCAAUUCGCUUAAGGAGGGGUCGCGGCAGAUUAGUUAGUUGGCAGGGUAAUGGCCUACCAAGACGGUGAUCUGUA